RNAcentral lists this ribosomal RNA (200 nucleotides) under uncultured bacterium. RNAcentral's name for it is "partial 16S ribosomal RNA". It matches the Rfam family "Bacterial small subunit ribosomal RNA", at positions 524 to 723 of the family's 1533-position model. The record is from RNAcentral.
GACGAAGGGGGCUAGCGUUGUUCGGAAUUACUGGGCGUAAAGCGCGUGUAGGCGGUUGCCCAAGUCGGGUGUGAAAGCCUUGAGCUCAACUCAAGAAAUGCACUCGGUACUGGGUGACUAGAGGACCGGAGAGGAUAGUGGAAUUCCCAGUGUAGUGGUGAAAUACGUAGAGAUUGGGAAGAACACCAGUGGCGAAGGCG